AUUGAACGCUGGCGGCAUGCUUUACACAUGCAAGUCGAACGGUAACAGGCCGCAAGGUGCUGGCGAGUGGCGAACGGGUGAGUAAUGCAUCGGAACGUGCCCAGUCGUGGGGGAUAACUACUCGAUAGAGUAGCUAAUACCGCAUACGAUCUAUGGAUGAAAGCGGGGGACCGUAAGGCCUCGCGCGAUUGGAGCGGCCGAUGUUAGAUUAGGUAGUUGGUGGGGUAAAGGCUCACCAAGCCAACGAUCUGUAGCUGGUCUGAGAGGACGACCAGCCACACUGGGACUGAGACACGGCCCAGACUCCUACGGGAGGCAGCAGUGGGGAAUUUUGGACAAUGGGCGCAAGCCUGAUCCAGCAAUGCCGCGUGCAGGAAGAAGGCCUUCGGGUUGUAAACUGCUUUUGUACGGAACGAAACGGCUCUGGUUAAUACCCGGGGCUAAUGACGGUACCGUAAGAAUAAGCACCGGCUAACUACGU
This 481-nucleotide ribosomal RNA is filed under the name uncultured bacterium. RNAcentral's name for it is "partial 16S ribosomal RNA". It matches the Rfam family "Bacterial small subunit ribosomal RNA", at positions 30 to 506 of the family's 1533-position model. The record is from RNAcentral.